This 484-nucleotide ribosomal RNA is filed under the name uncultured bacterium. RNAcentral describes it as "partial 16S ribosomal RNA". It matches the Rfam family "Bacterial small subunit ribosomal RNA", at positions 30 to 507 of the family's 1533-position model. The record is from RNAcentral.
AUUGAACGCUGGCGGCAGGCCUAACACAUGCAAGUCGAGCGGAUGAAGGGAGCUUGCUCCUGGAUUCAGCGGCGGACGGGUGAGUAAUGCCUAAGAAUCUGCCUGGUAGUGGGGGAUAACGUCCGGAAACGGGCGCUAAUACCGCAUACGUCCUGAGGGAGAAAGUGGGGGAUCUUCGGACCUCACGCUAUCAGAUGAGCCUAGGUCGGAUUAGCUAGUUGGUGGGGUAAAGGCCUACCAAGGCGACGAUCCGUAACUGGUCUGAGAGGAUGAUCAGUCACACUGGAACUGAGACACGGUCCAGACUCCUACGGGAGGCAGCAGUGGGGAAUAUUGGACAAUGGGCGAAAGCCUGAUCCAGCCAUGCCGCGUGUGUGAAGAAGGUCUUCGGAUUGUAAAGCACUUUAAGUUGGGAGGAAGGGCAGUAAGUUAAUACCUUGCUGUUUUGACGUUACCAACAGAAUAAGCACCGGCUAAGUUCGUG